Molecule: RNase P RNA, 378 nt
Filed under: uncultured Anaerobiospirillum sp.
Lineage: Bacteria; Pseudomonadati; Pseudomonadota; Gammaproteobacteria; Aeromonadales; Succinivibrionaceae
Description: Bacterial RNase P class A
Rfam family: Bacterial RNase P class A
About the family: Ribonuclease P (RNase P) is a ubiquitous endoribonuclease, found in archaea, bacteria and eukarya as well as chloroplasts and mitochondria. Its best characterised activity is the generation of mature 5'-ends of tRNAs by cleaving the 5'-leader elements of precursor-tRNAs. Cellular RNase Ps are ribonucleoproteins.
Source: RNAcentral
AGUUGACCGGGCAAUCGCUGCCGGAACACGUGCGCUUUAGGCAUACGGUUCUGGGGGAGGAAAGUCCGAGCUCUACAGGGCGAAGGUGCCAGGUAACGCCUGGGGGGUGUGAACCCACGACAAGUGCAGCAGAGAGCAGACCGCCGAUGGCCUUAGGGCACAGGUAAGGGUGAAAGGGUGCGGUAAGAGCGCACCGCGUUGCUAGUAAUAGUUAACGGCUAGGUAAACUCCACCUAGAGCAAGAUCAAAUAGGCCCCCGCAUAGUGUGGCCCGCACUGGGGGGCGGGUCGAUUGCUUGAGCCUAAGCGUGAGUUUAGGCCUAGAUGAAUGAUUGCCACUUAGAAAUAAGUACAGAACUCGGCUUACAGGUCAACUCAA